AAUGCUCCUGAUACGGCAGAAUGAUGAACCUUCUCUCUGUCGGGGUGCUUUUUUACCUGAGUGGGCUUAGAAAGAUGAACCUUCUCUCUGUCGGGGUGAUUCUCUACCUGAGUGGGCUUAGAAGCGGAACAGUGAUCCAGGUGGGCCCUGGCAGUGAUGUGAGCGUGAGAUGUGUGGACAGCCAGUCCAACUGGGACAGAAUCAGUGCCAACAGCAUAGAGCUGAGGCUGGACGACACGGCCCAUCUCCUGGUACAGAACUUUCAGCAGCAGGACAAGGGGCUUUACAGAUGUGGCAGUAAGGAAGAGAUCACGCUGGAGGAGAAGCAUGGAUCAGGCGGUGUAAGCGGCCUGCUGUACAGAGCGGUGGGCCAGGAGGCUCGUCUCUUCUGUAAGCACCUGGGGACUGAGACAUGCAAUGGCACGUGGACCAGGCCUCAUCAUCGCUCAAACAGUCAAGAGGUCU
Molecule: long non-coding RNA, 465 nt
Organism: Clupea harengus (Atlantic herring)
Lineage: Eukaryota; Metazoa; Chordata; Actinopteri; Clupeiformes; Clupeidae
Source: Ensembl